This 726-nucleotide ribosomal RNA is filed under the name uncultured cyanobacterium. RNAcentral's name for it is "bacterial SSU rRNA". It matches the Rfam family "Bacterial small subunit ribosomal RNA", at positions 580 to 1305 of the family's 1533-position model. The record is from RNAcentral. Lineage: Bacteria; Bacillati; Cyanobacteriota.
ACAUCAAGUCUGCUGUUAAAGGCUGGAGCUUAACUCCGGUAGAGCAGUGGAAACUGGUGUGCUAGAGGGCGACAGGGGUAGAGGGAAUUCCCAGUGUAGCGGUGAAAUGCGUAGAGAUUGGGAAGAACACCGGUGGCGAAAGCGCUCUACUGGGUCGCACCUGACCCUCAGGGACGAAAGCUAAGGUAGCGAAAGGGAUUAGAUACCCCUGUAGUCUUAGCCGUAAACGAUGGAUACUAGGCGUGGUUUGUAUCGACCCAAGCCGUGCCGAAGCUAACGCGUUAAGUAUCCCGCCUGGGGAGUACGCACGCAAGUGUGAAACUCAAAGGAAUUGACGGGGGCCCGCACAAGCGGUGGAGGAUGUGGUUUAAUUCGAUGCAACGCGAAGAACCUUACCAGGGCUUGACAUCCCGCGAAUCCCCAUGAAAGUGGGGAGUGCCUUCGGGAGCGCGGAGACAGGUGGUGCAUGGCUGUCGUCAGCUCGUGUCGUGAGAUGUUGGGUUAAGUCCCGCAACGAGCGCAACCCUCGUCCUUAGUUGCCAGCAUUAAGUUGGGCACUCUAGGGAGACUGCCGGUGACAAACCGGAGGAAGGUGAGGAUGACGUCAAGUCAGCAUGCCCCUUAUGCUCUGGGCAACACACGUCCUACAAUGGUCGGGACAAAGGGGAGCGAGCUCGCGAGAGUCAGCGAAUCCCAGCAAACUCGGCCUCAGUUCAGAUGGCAGGC